Molecule: ribosomal RNA, 1484 nt
Filed under: uncultured Bordetella sp.
Lineage: Bacteria; Pseudomonadati; Pseudomonadota; Betaproteobacteria; Burkholderiales; Alcaligenaceae
Description: partial 16S-23S ribosomal RNA intergenic spacer
Rfam family: Bacterial small subunit ribosomal RNA
Source: RNAcentral
GGUUCGAUUAUGGCUCAGAUUGAACGCUGGCGGGAUGCUUCGCUACAUGCAAGUCGAACGGCAGCACGGACUUCGGUCUGGUGGCGAGAGUGGCGAACGGGUGAGUAAUGUAUCGGAACGUGCUCAGUAGUGGGGGAUAACUACGCGAAAGCGUAGCUAAUACCGCAUACGCCCUUCGGGGGAAAGCGGGGGACCUUUCGGGCCUCGCACUUUAUUAGAGCGGCCGAUAUCGGAUUAGCUAGUUGCAGUAACGGCUCACCAAGGCGACGAUCCGUAGCUGUUUUGAGAGGACGACCAGCCACACUGGGACUGGGAGAUUACCGGCCCAGACUCCUACGGGAGGCAGCAGUGGGGAAUUUUGGACAAUGGGGAAACUCCUGAUCCAGCCAUCCGGCGUGUGCGAUGAAGGCCUUCGGGUUGUAAAGCACUUUUGGCAGGAAAGAAACGGCAUCGGGAUACCCCGUGCAACUGACGGUACCUGCAGAAUAAGCACCGGCUAACUACGCCAGCAGCCGUACGUAGGGUGCAAGCGUUAAUCGGAAUUACUGGGCGUAAAGCGUGCGCAGGCGGUUCGGAAAGAAAGAUGUGAAAUCCAGAGCUUAACUUUUGGAAUCGCAUUUUUAACUACCGAGGUGCCAGAGUGUGUCAGAGUGGAGGUGGGAAUUCCGCGUAGCAGUGAAAUGCGUAGAUAUGCGGAGGAACACCGAUGGCGAAGGCAGCCUCCUGUAUAACACUGACGCUCAUGCACGAAAGCGUGGGGAGCAAACAGGAUUAGAUACUCCUGGUAGUCCACGCCUCUAAACGAUGUCAACUAGCUGUUGGGGCCUUUCGGGCCUUGUAGCGCAGCUAACGCGUGAAGUUGACCGCCUGGGGAGUACGGUCGCAAGAUUAAACUCAAAGGAAUUGACGGGGACCCGCACAAGCGGUGGGAUGAUGUGGAUUAAUUCGAUGCAACGCGAAAACCUUACCUAAUUUUUGACAUGUCUGGAAUCCCGAAGAGAUUCGGGAGUACUGCAAGAGAACCGGAACACAGGUGCUGCAUGGCUGUCGUCAGCUCGUGUCGUGAGAUGUUGGGUUAAGUCCCGCAACGAGCGCAACCCUUGUCAUUAGUUGCUACGAAAGGGCACUCUAUCGAGACUGCCGGUGACAAACCGGAGGAAGGUGGGGAUGACGUCAGUCCUCAUGGCCCUUAUGGGUAGGGCUUCACACGUCAUACCGGUCGGGACAGAGGGCUCUCAACCCGCGAGGGGAGCCAAUCCCAGAAACCCGAUCGUAGUCCGGAUCGCAGUCUGCAACUCGACUGCGUGAAGUCGGAAUCGCUAGUAAUCGCGGAUCAGCAUGUCGCGGUGAAUACGUUCCUGGUCUUGUACACACCGCCCGUCACACCAUGGGAGUGGGUUUUACCAGAAGUAAAGUUAGCCUAACCGUAAGGAGGGCGAUUACCACGGUAGGAUUCAUGACUGGGGUGGCCGUAAUAAAGGUAG